RNAcentral lists this transfer RNA (73 nucleotides) under Ixodes scapularis (black-legged tick). It matches the Rfam family "tRNA". From Rfam's summary of the family: Transfer RNA (tRNA) molecules are approximately 80 nucleotides in length. Their secondary structure includes four short double-helical elements and three loops (D, anti-codon, and T loops). Lineage: Eukaryota; Metazoa; Arthropoda; Arachnida; Ixodida; Ixodidae. The record is from Rfam by way of RNAcentral.
GCCUCGGUGGCUCGGAGGCGAGAGCGCCGGCCUACGGAUCCCCAGGUGGCGGGUUCGAAUCCCGGCCGAGGUG